ACUCCUACGGGAGGCAGCAGUCGAGAAUCAUUCACAAUGGACGAAAGUCUGAUGGUGCGACGCCGCGUGGAGGAUGACGGCCCUAGGGUUGUAAACUCCUGUCAUCAGAGAGUAAAGCUGCGUGGUUAAUACCUGCGUAGACUGAUAGUAUCUGAAGAGGAAGGGACGGCUAACUUCGUGCCAGCAGCCGCGGUAAUACGAAGGUCCCAAGCGUUGUUCGGAAUUACUGGGCGUAAAGCGUGUGUAGGCGGUUGGGUAAGUCAGAUGUGAAAUCCCGGGGCUCAACCUCGGAACUGCAUCCGAUACUGCCUGACUAGAGGACUGGAGGGGAGUCUGGAAUUCUCGGUGUAGCAGUGAAAUGCGUAGAUAUCGAGAGGAACACUAGUGGCGAAGGCGAGACUCUGGACAGAUCCUGACGCUGAGACACGAAGGCCAGGGUAGCGAACGGGAUUAGAUACCCUGGU
RNAcentral lists this ribosomal RNA (464 nucleotides) under uncultured bacterium. Its description in RNAcentral is "bacterial SSU rRNA". It matches the Rfam family "Bacterial small subunit ribosomal RNA", at positions 335 to 791 of the family's 1533-position model. The record is from RNAcentral.